ACUCCCUCCUCCUCUGCCCUGUCCUCUUCCUCCUCCUCCUCCUCCUCUGCACCGUCCUCCUCCUCCUCCUUCUCUGCCCUGCCCUCCUGCUCCUCUCCUCCCCCUCGUCCUCCUCUGCCCCAGGGCUGCCGGCCGCCUUCUGCCUGGGGGCAUUCCUUUCCAACUCGGGACCCCAGAACACAGCCAAACGCCCACCUGGCGUGUUCCACCUGAGACCGCUGAAGGAGUGGGAAACGGACAAACCAACACGAAGAGACCGGACAGCGAGCCAGGGACCUGUGGGAAGACGUGUCAGGGGUUGAGAGCGUUGGUGGUGAGGGGAUAAAAAGUUGUGGGAGAGUGAGGCAGGAGCAGGGCUGCCAGUUAGUUACUUGGUCAUCCUAUACAUACAGAACGAGCACUCACUGUAAUACGGAGAACCAGCCGCCUGCGUUCCAGUAAAGUGAUUUGCCUGCAUCUCCGAUGAUGGUAUUUUCUGUUUGACACAGUCGAAGCUAUCCCUUUUGUUGAUUAAUUCUGGAGGAAGUUGAAGCCUCUACUCC
RNAcentral lists this long non-coding RNA (542 nucleotides) under Pan troglodytes (chimpanzee). Its description in RNAcentral is "long non-coding RNA NONPTRT003401". Lineage: Eukaryota; Metazoa; Chordata; Mammalia; Primates; Hominidae. The record is from RNAcentral.